AUGGUGCAAGGAAAAUUGUUUUGGGCGGCAAAACUUCGAGAAAUAAAAGAAUGGGAAGCCCCAGAGUCAAAUAAAAUUACUGCAGCAAUGAACACUUUGUCCACCAGAGUUUGGAAAUCGGUGAAAUCAAACAUAUUAAGAGCACACCGAAGUUGUGGGUUUAAACCUCCAAGAAAUCUGUUAAUCUUCCUUUCUUCAGUGGCCACGUCAUACAGAGAGUAA
Molecule: ribosomal RNA, 222 nt
Filed under: Triticum aestivum (bread wheat)
Lineage: Eukaryota; Viridiplantae; Streptophyta; Magnoliopsida; Poales; Poaceae
Description: partial small subunit ribosomal RNA
Source: RNAcentral